This 496-nucleotide ribosomal RNA is filed under the name uncultured bacterium. Its description in RNAcentral is "partial 16S ribosomal RNA". It matches the Rfam family "Bacterial small subunit ribosomal RNA", at positions 28 to 507 of the family's 1533-position model. The record is from RNAcentral.
GAUGAACGCUGGCGGCGUGCCUAAUACAUGCAAGUCGAGCGAACAGACGAGGAGCUUGCUCCUUUGACGUUAGCGGCGGACGGGUGAGUAACACGUGGGUAACCUACCUAUAAGACUGGGAUAACUUCGGGAAACCGGAGCUAAUACCGGAUAAUAUUUCGAACCGCAUGGUUCGAUAGUGAAAGAUGGCUUUGCUAUCACUUAUAGAUGGACCUGCGCCGUAUUAGCUAGUUGGUAGGUAACGGCUUACCAAGGCAACGAUACGUAGCCGACCUGAGAGGGUGAUCGGCCACACUGGAACUGAGACACGGUCCAGACUCCUACGGGAGGCAGCAGUAGGGAAUCUUCCGCAAUGGGCGAAAGCCUGACGGAGCAACGCCGCGUGAGUGAUGAAGGUCUUCGGAUCGUAAAACUCUGUUAUUAGGGAAGAAUAAACGUGUAAGUAACUGUGCACGUCUUGACGGUACCUAAUCAGAAAGCCACGGCUAACUACGUG